RNAcentral lists this ribosomal RNA (577 nucleotides) under uncultured bacterium. RNAcentral describes it as "partial 16S ribosomal RNA". It matches the Rfam family "Bacterial small subunit ribosomal RNA", at positions 355 to 932 of the family's 1533-position model. The record is from RNAcentral.
UGGGGAAUUUUGGACAAUGGGCGAAAGCCUGAUCCAGCAAUGCCGCGUGUGUGAAGAAGGCCUUCGGGUUGUAAAGCACUUUUGUCCGGAAAGAAAUCCUUGGCUCUAAUACAGUCGGGGGAUGACGGUACCGGAAGAAUAAGCACCGGCUAACUACGUGCCAGCAGCCGCGGUAAUACGUAGGGUGCAAGCGUUAAUCGGAAUUACUGGGCGUAAAGCGUGCGCAGGCGGUUUGCUAAGACCGAUGUGAAAUCCCCGGGCUCAACCUGGGAACUGCAUUGGUGACUGGCAGGCUAGAGUAUGGCAGAGGGGGGUAGAAUUCCACGUGUAGCAGUGAAAUGCGUAGAGAUGUGGAGGAAUACCGAUGGCGAAGGCAGCCCCCUGGGCAAUACUGACGCUCAUGCACGAAAGCGUGGGGAGCAAACAGGAUUAGAUACCCUGGUAGUCCACGCCCUAAACGAUGUCAACUAGUUGUUGGGGAUUCAUUUCCUAGUAACGUAGCUAACGCGUGAAGUUGACCGCCUGGGGAGUACGGUCGCAAGAUUAAAACUUAAAUGAAUUGACGGGGUCAUAGCUG